CGACAAGCGACGACCAAACUGUCUCAUCGUCAACCAUCCAAGCCAAGCGAUGAACAUCUGACGACGACGACGACGAAUUUUGUUUUGCAUCAUCGGUCGUCACCAUUACCGGUUGUCAACUGUCGGCCCAAAAACAGCGAACUUAAAAAAAAUAUUUGACUACACUGCACUGUUAAUCCGCAAACUUGGUAAUCCGGUGCGCACGGAGUUUACGAUCCACUUCCAAGUUCACUCGGUUUUCAAUCCAAAUUGACAGUCAUCCAAAGGCCAAGAUGAAUAACCCGAAAGGGAACAACGUGCACUCUAAACAGCUUGGUUUCAAAAUGAUAUGUUUGAGUUUCUACCUGGUAAUAAUGAUGAUGGAGAUCGGGCCGUGUACGAGUGAUGAGAAUUUCACAAGCAUCAUUAGCGGCAACGGCGUCUCCAAAGCAAUACAAACGUUUCCAAUAACCGACUUAUGGUCGUUCGACGGAAUUCCGAACGUCGUCUAUCACAAAAUUCGUAAAAACUGCUCGAAAGUCAAUCAGUUCAUAGUAGACAUGAACUUCAACGAGACGAAAUUAUAUAAACCCCCGCCAUUGAUCGCCGCCUUGGCUGGAAUGUCGAAUAAAAAAGGACGUGGAAGAUUGAAGGGCACACACAUCUCGUUGAAUUUAACGCAACCGCUGAAGUUGAUAUUGUGCGAUGACAACAUCGAUUUAUUAGAAUGGGCCAAAUCCGGUGUAUUGACUAACGAGUCGUCUUCGCCAUUGAAUUUAGACUUCAGCAUCACUUAUACCGGCAAGAGAAAAACUCAACUCAUAAAAUCAGUUGCAUUAGACUUUGCAAGUGUAUUUGUAAUAAUAUUCAACGAUCCACCACCAGAAUGUUUAUUAGUUGACGAUUCAAACCAACAACUUUUUUGGAGUGAUAGUAAAUAUGGCACAAUCGAAGCAUACGAUCCUAAAAAAAAAACCGUUGAUCAUUUGGUAAGCUUAAUGACCACGCCUAGAUCAAUGGUCAUCGAUUCAACUCUCAAAUUACUGUUUUGGUGUAACACCGAGUCCGAAGGCAGUAUCGAACGCAUCAACUACGAUGGGAACAACAGGAUGGAAAUAACUACAGGAAAAUACGAUUUGAUUUACCCGGACAAAUUGGGAAUAGACCACACCAACAAGAUGUUAUACUGGAUGACGGACAAAGUCAUCCACAAAUCCGACUACGAAGGAAAUUCUCACAAAAUCGUAAAGAAAAGUGAAUUUUACGACCCGAAUAUUCCCAGGUGCAUCUUUUUCACCAAAGCUACUGAAUACAAUUUUUUUUGGGAAAAGCCGCGGGUGUCAAAUCCCAAUCGAUCUUUUGCGCCUAAUUUACUGUCGAUCUCGUACCAAAAAAGUGGUGAGCCGUUUAAAAAAGCGAAGUUCCCCCCGAAGUUCCAUUUGCUGGAAUUGCAAAAAAAUAACUAUAGCCCCUCGCACAUGUGUCAGAAGAACCCGUCGGGCUAUUAUUGCUUCCUCCUGCCUGUACCGUUAAACAGGUUUCCGAACGUUAAGGUCAAUCGCAUGCUGAACAGGGCCGGAUACAAACCGAUGAAGCUGAAUCAACUGAGCAAAUUCCACCCAAAACACGAAAAAUUGCUGUUAAAUGUCAAUUCGUUCUACUUCAUCUCGAAAACCCGCAAGGUGUUUUACUAUGACGCGAAGACGAAAAGCAUCCGAUAUAUUUCUUAUUUAGAAGAACAUCCUAUAGAUAUUGUUAAAAAUAUCGUUACUCCGAUCAACGGCUUCUGGUACGACAGUUUAAAUAACGCUAUAUACUUCAUCAAUGUAACAGAAAAUAGCAUAGUAAAGGUUGAAUUGGAGGAAAACAACUACCCUAAAAAAAUGGUAACUACGGUGAAGGACCCAAAUGAGACUAUUUUAGUGGCAUUGACUUUUGAUACAGUACAAAACAGGUUGCUGUUUUUUGCAUGCCAGUAUUCGAAACACAAUGCUACGUAUAAUACAUAUUAUAAUGAGUACGUGGCUGUAUAUUUUAUAAGAAAUUUAACUAUGCCUUUACUAGAUCUCAUUGUAAUCAAUUUAAUAACGAAUAUAAUCUUAAUAAAUACUACUGAUAUGACGGCCGAAUUUUAUAAAACUAACACCGAUGCGUCAUUCAGUGCAUACUUUACGAAUUUAACGGCCUAUCAAAACAAUGCUCAAACUCAAUCUUUAUCAUUACGGAGAAAAAUUCUCACAACUGUACUCAAUAUUUUUAUGAGUUAUUUUACGAUACAUUUCACAUGCUUCAAUUAUUUAAUAUUAUUUUAAGAAGAAUUUUUCAUUUUAUACUUACAACUUUCAAUACCCAUCGCAAUAUACAGAUAAAGUAUACCUUUUAGUCUACACAAAAUGAUCACUACACGACUUACUUAAACGCACAAUCGUCAUUCAAAUCAAGACGUGAACAAAAUCCAUUCCUUUACAACAUAGAGCCCGAAUUCAAGAUGUACUGCUGCAACGCUUAAACUCAAUCUAAUAAUACUCACCGUCGUACUACUGCAGCGGAUGUCACCGACGACCAAAGUCGAUUGGUUCCGUACUAGAAAACUACUAAUAAUAUUCAUACCGCGCUGACUGCUUAAAGUCGCAAAACACACGUCAUUUCAACGGUGAAACUCUGGGUGUAGAUGUCGAAUCCCGAAUCCGUACCCUUCCCCCUUUGAACCGUAUUCGAGUAUCCACAUCAAGUGAUACAUUUCAUUUGCAUUAAUGUACAUUUUAAUAAUUACCCAACAUUAAUAUCCUUUUUUUUAAAAAAAAAAAAAGUAGAUUGCGCUACUGUAACACAGUCUGUGUACAUUUUACGUGCACGUACAUACAUGUGUAUCGUAUUACCGAUGUUUAUAUUAAAUUUCCUAGGAGUUUUAUAAAAUAUCAGGUUUCGAAAACAAACAUUAAGCUGUUGAUAAACCGUUAAAAUAUAUUAUCAAAAGUGUUUUAAUAGGUUUACCAACCACUCAACGACACUCACACACCCCACCCCGUGAAUAUUCUUUGCAUGGUUAUAAAAAUGAAAAUAUUUUUUUUUCAAACACUUGAUGUGUUCGUAAGUUAAUUUUAUGAAAAUUUCUGUAUAGAUUUUAAAAACAAAAACUGUUCAAAGAAAAAACUUAAUGUUUUAUAAAAUAUAUUGAUAUAUAUGCCUAUUCAAAGCCCCUCCCCACACUUUUAUCUCUUAAUAAUGCAUAUAUUCAAAUUCGGAUUUUUUUUUAAAAUUUUUAAAAACUAUAUUUUCAAAUACUAAGUUUUUUUAUGCCAUUUAAAAAGUAUUCUAUGGCGAUAAAAACUUAUUUCUUUUCAAACGAGAAUCACCAUUUUUUGUCUGUAAUUCAGAUGAUUGUUAUAAAUAUUUUGACCCAUCUACAUUGAAAUUUAAAGGAAUAGUGUCCGAGUUAUUAAACAUUAAUAUAAACUAUAAAGAUUAAAAUUAAAAAUUAAAUAGAUAAUAUAAUAAUUUAGUAUUGUAAUUGUUAUACUCGAAUUCUAAAAAAAUCAGAAAUUACUUCUAAACAAUUUAAAAAAAAUAUAUCUGAAAAUUCACAGUAAAAAAUGGUGGUUGUCAUUUGAAAUCUAUUGAUUAUAUUAAUCUUGUGCAUCAUCCGUCCAUAUUGAAUCAUAAUUUAAUUAUAAAUUAUAGUAACCUAUUUAUAAACAGGGUCGACAAUAAAAUGGCUCACACCAAAAAGUUUUCAGCAAAUUUAUUAAAACGAUUAAUAUCACACAUUAUAUCGUCAAUAAUAAAUCAAUACAAAUUAAUAAUAAUUAAAUUAAUGAAAUUCCUCAAAUUUGAAAAUCAAUAGACUCAAAAUAUUAUAAUAAUAUGUUAAUGGAUAAAAAUUAACGGUUUUUGCGUUAGUGUAGUUAUAACGCUUUUAUAUAUUUAAAGUAAAAUGUAAAAACUAGUCAAUUUCUGUACAAUUAAUAUCAUAUCAUAUUAUUAUUUAGAGCCGAUUUCAAUUGUCGAUUUAACCAUUUUCCCUACACUUGCAUAAACAGUAACGUUAGCAUUCGAAAAUUAUUGGUACCGAGUACAUACGAUGCAAAUUUAAACAUAUUAUUCAUUAUCUUAACUAUAUUUCACUAAAACUCAAAAUAUAUUUUGACAAAACCACUAUUGGAUUAUCCGGAAAUAAUAAACUCUGAUUUUAUGUAAUUUACUACAAUCUCGAUUGAAUUUAAAUUACAGUUACUGGUUUUCUUCAAUAUGCUCGCAAUUAUUAAGCUAAUAGCCUAAUAAUAUUAUGGUUAUAUCAAUCGCGUUAUUGAAUUCGUAGAACAAUUUUCCAUUACUUUUACAAUAAAUUGUUCAAAACUUUCUACGAAUAAGUCAAACACUUGUGAAAUAAGCAAAUAAAUCGAUACGUUUUUCUUAUCGACAGUGACGGUAAAUACUUUCAUAGUACGGACUAUGCAUCAGAAAAAUUAAUAAUCUCCUUUUCCCAGCCACCGUUGUGGUACGAAAAUUAUUUUGAUUUUCAAACGCGCGUCGUAGAACAUUCACACUCGAAAUAGUUAGGCAUCAUAUUAUGGACACCUACAUGGCUAUAAUAUAUACAAUGCUCAACCCAAUGGUCAUGACAUUAAUAUGAUCAAAUGCUCAUAAAUAAUUUUAAGUAUAAUAAUAAUGAUAACGGGACGUAUAUUAUAACGAUUUAUUAUUAUACAAGAUAACACUGAGAGAAAUGACUCGAAUCACUUUUUGUGUGGUGAUACGCUUCAUAAAAUAUUUAAAAAAAAUAAUUACAAAUAAACACUCGUACAAUAUGAAUGAUGAUUAAAAACUUACGACACUUUGACCUUGUAGUCACAUAAACUUGUAUUUUCCCGUAGAGGCGUAGAACGAUCUGUUUCAGAUAUUUAAUUGAUAUUAUUAUUGUAGAAAAUAAUAUUAUAAUAGUUAUAAGAUAAUUAAUAUAUUUAAGCUGUUUCUCUCUGUAGUGUGUGUCAACUGUUGAUUUUUUUUGUUUAGCAAAUAAGUUACUUAGUAAUAGAGUUAGAUAGACACUACACGUCUAUAAUUUAUUUUUCGUGAUUGUCCCAAUAAGUGAUGCAAAGGGAGUCAAACAUUAUGACUUCUGAAUUUUAGUAGAAGUGUGUUUUAUAUAAGUUGGUAUUAUACGUAUGGUAUGGUUACGGUAGAAACCACGCUGGUUUCUUUCGAAUUGGUAGUCGAUGUCUAUAUAAGUAGUAGGUAGUAACGUUGUGUGUAAUUAUUAUUUAUUCGUUUUGGUUUUGUUUUGCGUUAAUCAGAAGUUUGAAUGAUCUCCUAUAAGGUAAGGGACACCAAAUAUUAUUUAAGUAGAUACCUGAUAUACACGUCGAUCAUUCGACUUAUUCAGUGGUCGAAGUGGGGUUAUAUAAUAAUUCCACUUCUUUUAGAAGUUAUUUUCCAUUUUAAUAACACUCUAAUUUUCCUUAAAUUUACCUAUCUCUCUUAGAUUUUGAAAAAUUUAACGUUUUCUUCAUAGAUUACAUCUUAUUAACCUUAUGUCGACUAAUUUGUUUCAUAAAAAUAUCUCCGUAUAGACAUAUUUUAUUUAUUAAAACUAACAUUUCACAACGAAUAUAAAGAAUAACAUCAUUAGGUUACUAAAAAUAUAAUCACUUUCAUAAAAUACUAUAACAUUAUGUAGGUAAUAACUGAUCAUUAAUAACCAACGAGCGUAAUAAAUAGUAGAACAAUAGUAAUAACAACUGUUCUGGACCUUAUGAAAUAACAAAAUGUCUUCAGUUUUCCAACUACUUAAUCCACUUCGACCAUUGUAAUAUAAGAAUAGAAAAUGUGAAUAUUGCAGGUCAAUAUAAAAUCAGUGUUUUUAAAGUAGUUGUAGAUUUUUUUUUUAUAGAAUUAAUAAUAAAUAAAUACAAAAACAUAUUAGAUUUUAUAGAUAAUCAUAUUGUGUAGACAAAAAAAAUCUUUUAUUAUUAGCUAUUGAAUACAUGUUCUACUUUACAAUAAAUAAUUGUAUUGGAUUGAUUUAAAAAAGUAAAUCGUUAGAUUUUUCUUUUUUUAAUAAAUAGAUAAAACUUAUUUAAGAUUUGAAAAAAAAAAUAAUGAAAACACUCUCGAGAAUAACAAGUAUAGAAAGCAAUUGAUACAGUCAACAUCACGAGUUCAAAAAAGUCGAAGACCACUGGUCUACAACACGAUAAUAAACAAAAAAAUAUUAAGUAUUAGUUAUAUAUGUCUGUUUUAAUCCCAAUAAACAAUAUUACUCUUAAAAUUUUAUUGCACUGAAAAAUCGACAAGAUAUUUUUAUUCUUAACAAAAAAAAUAAAAAAAAAUAAAAACGUAUAAAAAAUAUUAUUAGGUAUAUAUUGACUGUAGAUUAUUGUUAUAAU
Rhopalosiphum padi (bird cherry-oat aphid) is the source of this 6365-nucleotide RNA transcript. RefSeq lists it as uncharacterized. NCBI's taxonomy places the organism in Eukaryota, Metazoa, Arthropoda, Insecta, Hemiptera, Aphididae. The record is from RefSeq and is a predicted model, not a curated record. The transcript has 16 exons.